UUGCAAACUGGAGAUGGCGACCGGCGCACGGGUGAGUAACACGUAUCCAACCUGCCGAUAACUCGGGGAUAGCCUUUCGAAAGAAAGAUUAAUACCCGAUGGCAUAAUAGAACCGCAUGGUUUGAUUAUUAAAGAAUUUCGGUUAUCGAUGGGGAUGCGUUCCAUUAGGCAGUUGGUGGGGUAACGGCCCACCAAACCUUCGAUGGAUAGGGGUUCUGAGAGGAAGGUCCCCCACAUUGGAACUGAGACACGGUCCAAACUCCUACGGGAGGCAGCAUG
RNAcentral lists this ribosomal RNA (279 nucleotides) under uncultured bacterium. RNAcentral describes it as "partial 16S ribosomal RNA". It matches the Rfam family "Bacterial small subunit ribosomal RNA", at positions 76 to 353 of the family's 1533-position model. The record is from RNAcentral.